GAGAGGUUGGCCAAGGGGAGCCAGGAGACUCACAGGAGGAAAUGUCAUUUGGAUACCAGGAAUGUGUCUGAGAUCCAGAGCAAAUAUUUGUUUUUCCUCUGAUGCCCUCCUGGGGCAGCCAUUAGUCCCCCCACCUGUCCCUCCCUGCAGAUAAUACCAUGGGACCCUGCUUAACCAUCUCUACAAGAGAAGAGUGGGAAACGGAGCUGCAAACAUGAAGGGGAAACAGAAAACAGAGAUGGAGGAACUUGCUCAGAGUUACGGAUUACUAUUACGACAACACACGCGUGAAUCAAAGCGGCAAGUUCCCCAAAGGCCUCACACCCAAAGACGUGGCUGGAGUGCUGGGAGAUAUAGUGGGCCUGGCAUUCGGGCCUGGUUUUUACAUUUCCCAGAAUAAAAGCCCAUCACAACGAAA
Molecule: long non-coding RNA, 418 nt
Organism: Mastomys coucha (southern multimammate mouse)
Lineage: Eukaryota; Metazoa; Chordata; Mammalia; Rodentia; Muridae
Exons: 2
Source: RefSeq, a predicted model, not a curated record